This 1187-nucleotide long non-coding RNA is filed under the name Homo sapiens (human). RNAcentral describes it as "non-protein coding FAM138F:2". The record is from RNAcentral. Lineage: Eukaryota; Metazoa; Chordata; Mammalia; Primates; Hominidae.
CACACAACGGGGUUUCGGGGCUGUGGACCCUGUGCCAGGAAAGGAAGGGCGCAGCUCCUGCAAUGCGGAGCAGCCAGGGCAGUGGGCACCAGGCUUUAGCCUCCCUUUCUCACCCUACAGAGGGCAGGCCCUUCAGCUCCAUUCUCCUCCAAGGCUGCAGAGGGGGCAGGAAUUGGGGGUGACAGGAGAGCUGUAAGGUCUCCAGUGGGUCAUUCUGGGCCCAGAGAUGGGUGCUGAAGCUCCCACGCCUGCCUGUGAAAAUGGAGUCCUCUCUCACCUGGGAGAGCCAGGUGCUGCCCCGAGAAGGAUGCAUUUAUGGCUUCGUGAAGUCUUUCCUGACCCCCGAUGCUGCUGACUAUAGAGACAAAGUCUCACUAUGUUGCUCAGGCUGGUCUUGAACUCCUGGCCUCAAGCGAUCCUCCCACCUCAGCCUCCCAAAGUGUUGGGAUUAUAGACAUGAGCCACUGCACCUGGCCGACCUUGGGCAAGUUCUUAAACCCUUCAAAGCCUCAUUUUUCUCCAAUCACAAAAGGGAAAGAUGGUAAUAUUUUCCCCACCAAAUUCUUGUCGGAUGCCCUCACAGAAUUGAGAUUAUGUACGUAAAACACCAGGUGCCUAACCCGGCACAGAGCAGGAGGGCUAAGCGUGACAUCCAGCACGUGGUCAGUGGAAUCCAGUAUUCCUACCCACCUCUCUAGUCUCCCCUCCACCCCUCUCCCUUUCAGAGGCACCAAGCUGCUUGUGGUCUUGUCUAUUCCCACUCCCUGCCUGACUGAACAUUUUCUCCACCUCCUGAUCAUCAGCAGCAGAAACUGGCUGCUCUUCCUCCUGGGUAGACAGCCAGACUGUAUUUCCCAGCUGCCCCUGCAGUGAGAUGUGGCCAUCGGAGCCAGCAUUGGCCAAUGGACUCUGCAUGGGAGUGACGCAUGCUGCCUCCAGGCUUGUCCCUAAAACCUCCCACGUGUCCUCCGCCUGCUCUUCCCACCUCCAAGGAGCACGGCAAUUGUGGAAGACCCAGAUUAGUGAUGGCAGAACCAUAGAUGGGAGGAACCUGGGUCCCUGACUUAAAGUAUCAUGGAUUUGGAUGUUCCCUUAGUGAGAAAUAAACUUCCAUUGUGUUUAAGCCUUUAUUUGUUUAUAGUUGGUUACAGCAACUGCCUUCUUUUAAUUAAAACACUCCUGCUGCU